UUGACGCUUCGAGUAAGGGUCCGGUUCCCGGCUAUUUUUCGAGGACCCAUUCGUAAACAGCCGUUCGACUUGGCUGCGUUUGC
RNAcentral lists this transfer RNA (83 nucleotides) under Phycisphaerae bacterium RAS2. RNAcentral's name for it is "tRNA-Glu". Lineage: Bacteria; Pseudomonadati; Planctomycetota; Phycisphaerae. The record is from RNAcentral.